RNAcentral lists this ribosomal RNA (376 nucleotides) under Gomphocerus sibiricus (Siberian grasshopper). Its description in RNAcentral is "partial 12S ribosomal RNA". It matches the Rfam family "Microsporidia small subunit ribosomal RNA", at positions 752 to 1198 of the family's 1311-position model. The record is from RNAcentral. Lineage: Eukaryota; Metazoa; Arthropoda; Insecta; Orthoptera; Acrididae.
CUAUUAUUUUAAGUGUUAAUUUUGCUUACCUGGGUAGUAUUAGUUAGGAUCUUAAAACCCAAAGAAUUUGGCGGUAUCUUAUUCCAUUUAGAGGAACCUACCCCGUAAUUGAUAAUACACGAUUAACUUUACUUAAUUUAUUUGUUUGUAUAUCUCCGUUAUCAGAAAAUCUUUUUGGAGUUAUAAUUUUCUUAAUUUGUAAUUUUAAAAUAUUUCAGGUCAAGGUGCAGCUUAUAAUUAAGAGGAGGUGGGUUACAAUAAAUUUUAGUUUAUUACGUAUUUAAUAGUGGAAUACUAUUAAUGAAGGUGGAUUUAAUAGUAAUUUAAUUUAUUUAAUUUAAUUGAUAUUGGCUCUGGGGUGUGUACACAUCGCCCC